This 107-nucleotide small nucleolar RNA is filed under the name Gossypium hirsutum (cotton). RNAcentral's name for it is "Plant small nucleolar RNA R71". It matches the Rfam family "Plant small nucleolar RNA R71". From Rfam's summary of the family: R71 is a member of the C/D box family of snoRNAs containing the C (UGAUGA) and D (CUGA) box motifs. Multiple nearly identical copies of this snoRNA have been identified in Arabidopsis, and it is thought to function as a 2'-O-ribose methylation guide for 18S ribosomal RNA. Lineage: Eukaryota; Viridiplantae; Streptophyta; Magnoliopsida; Malvales; Malvaceae. The record is from Rfam by way of RNAcentral.
AACCCACGAUGAGGGCACCUUCUCAGGAUAUCCUUAAAUCUCUCCCAUGCAUUAUACAAUGUCUCAAGCUCAAAUUGAGUAAAGGAAGAGAUGUCAUUCCUCAACUU